RNAcentral lists this ribosomal RNA (207 nucleotides) under uncultured bacterium. Its description in RNAcentral is "partial 16S ribosomal RNA". It matches the Rfam family "Bacterial small subunit ribosomal RNA", at positions 568 to 774 of the family's 1533-position model. The record is from RNAcentral.
CGCGUAGGCGGGACGCCAAGUCGGUCGUGAAAUCUCCGGGCUCAACCCGGAGGAGUCGGCCGAAACUGGUGUUCUUGAGGGAGGCAGAGGAGUCUGGAAUUCCCGGUGUAGCGGUGAAAUGUGUAGAGAUCGGGAGGAACACCGGUGGCGAAGGCGGGACUCUGGGCCUACCCUGACGCUGAGGCGCGAAGGCGUGGGGAGCAAACG